UCGGGAAUUUUGGGCAAUGGGCGAAAGCCUGACCCAGCAACGCCGCGUGAAGGAUGAAAUCCCUCGGGAUGUAAACUUCGCAAGAACGGGAAGAAUAAGUAGGGGACAAUACCCCCUAUGAUGACGGUACCGUUUGUAAGCUCCGGCUAACUCCGUGCCAGCAGCCGCGGUAAUACGGGGGGAGCAAGCGUUGUUCGGAUUUACUGGGCGUAAAGGGCGCGUAGGCGGUCAGCACAAGUCGGUUGUGAAAUCUCCGAGCUUAACUCGGAAAGGUCAACCGAAACUGUGCGACUAGAGUGCGGAAGGGGCAACUGGAAUUCGUGGUGUAGCGGUGAAAUGCGUAGAUAUCAAGAGGAACACCUGCGGCGAAGGCGGGUUGCUGGGCCGACACUGACGCUGAAGCGCGAAAGCCAGGGGAGCGAACGG
This 426-nucleotide ribosomal RNA is filed under the name uncultured bacterium. RNAcentral describes it as "bacterial SSU rRNA". It matches the Rfam family "Bacterial small subunit ribosomal RNA", at positions 355 to 775 of the family's 1533-position model. The record is from RNAcentral.